Molecule: ribosomal RNA, 253 nt
Filed under: uncultured bacterium
Lineage: Bacteria
Description: partial 16S ribosomal RNA
Rfam family: Bacterial small subunit ribosomal RNA
Source: RNAcentral
UACAGAGGCCCCAAGCGUUAGGCGGAAUCACUGGGCUUAAAGCGUGUGUAGGUGGAUGCCUAAGUACCUUGUGAAAUCCCACGGCUUAACCAUGGAAUUGCUUGGUAUACUGGGUGUCUUGAGCCACUCAGGGGCUACCGGAACAAACGGUGGAGCGGUGAAAUGCGUAGAUAUCGUGUGGAACGCCAAUGGUGAAAACAGGUAGCUGGGGGUGUGCUGACACUGAGACAAGAAAGCCAGGGGAGCAAACGGG